This 101-nucleotide ribosomal RNA is filed under the name uncultured bacterium. RNAcentral's name for it is "partial 16S ribosomal RNA". It matches the Rfam family "Bacterial small subunit ribosomal RNA", at positions 1384 to 1482 of the family's 1533-position model. The record is from RNAcentral.
UACACACCGCCCGUCACACCGUGGGAGUUGGCUUUACCCGAAGGCGGUGCGCUAACCAGCAAUGGAGGCAGCCGACCACGGUAGGGUCAGCGACUGGGGUG